AAUGUUUCUGAAAAUAUUUCAUUUGUUCUGACAAUGACAAUUUUUGCUGUGAAAUCUGCCGGUUAUUACACCUCACCUUUUGGAAUAAGUGUGCAGGUGGGGAGAUGCUGCAGCUCUUUUCUGUGCUAAAAGAAGGGUGAGAGGCAAGUGGAAGAAGAGAAUUGCUAUUGUUUCUAUAACGUGUGGGGAAAAAAAAAAAAAAGAGAGACAUAUGUUCUGAAAAAAGUUGAAAUCUCAUUAAUUUGAACUAGCAUGACAAUGAGGACAUUGUAACCCCAUCACCUACAUCUUUCACACAGAGUCAAUAAAAUAUCAAGGAUAGAAAAAAAUCCUAUAUAUUUCUUUGCUUAAUCAUUCUUUCCUGCAGCUCUGAAUGCAAACCAGAACUGUUAACAUCCAAAGCAAUUCUUUCCUGUCAAAUGCCGUUGGAAUGAGUUCCUGCAGAGAAGCUUCUUUGUUCUACAGAAAGGUUGGGGAGUGUUACUGGCUACUUGGAAACAAAGCUUCAGCUGCUUAG
This 517-nucleotide long non-coding RNA is filed under the name Anas platyrhynchos platyrhynchos (common mallard). RNAcentral's name for it is "lncRNA (ENSAPLG00000027207.1)". The record is from RNAcentral. Lineage: Eukaryota; Metazoa; Chordata; Aves; Anseriformes; Anatidae.